AGACAGUGCCUUGCCUUGUCUUCCUAUCCAUUGCGCAUGUCCAAAGUUCACAAUGAAAAUGGCUGCUAUGGGUUUCAUCCCUGGCGACGGCGAGAGAAAACGAGCGGGAGAGGAUGCAGAGAGCUCAGAGAGGAGUGGCAAUGAAGAGGAAAAUGAGGACCUGUCAUGUGAAGAGGAGGAAGAAGGAAGUGCCGGGAAGGUCGAAGCCGGUUCGUUGAAGCUCCGCGUUGUCGUGAGCUCGGCCCAGACCAAGAAGAAGAAACACAAGCACCGCAGCAAACACAAGCGACAGAAGUACGUCUCCCCAGAGGUCAAGGAGCGGCGCCACGGGCACCGGCACAAGCACAAGAGGCACAAGCGUAAAGACAACCCCUCAACCGAUGUCUUCUCAAACUGUGGCGAUGACGACGCUUCCCUGUACUCCUCCUCUGCCAAGCACCCAAGACUGGAAGAUGAUGAGAUGGCACUUCUGGAGGAGCUGGAGAAACAGAGGGCCCUGAUCCAAGCCGAGCUAGACGGUGAACUGACUGAGGGGGGCAGGGGGGUACAAUUGGACAUGGGGCUCAUACUCCAGGGCUACCACUCUGAAGAGGAGGAGGAUGGGGAGCUUCAGGUGGAGAGGGAGCACAAUGGGCAGCACUGGUGUAUAGCGGCAACAGGUCCCGGCUCAGGCUCACAGACCGCUAAGGACACCUGUAGAGGACGGCGAGAGUCGACAGAUGCCGGAAAAGCUAAGCAGAGCAAUCCCAAUAAAAAUGCCAGGAAGAGCAGGACAGACGGGAAGACCAAGGAUCGGAUGAGAGGACGGAGCACUUCCAGGGAUAGAGACGGCAGAAGACAUUACAGGAGUUCAGUGUGCUUUAGGUCUCCUCCUGGCACCAGCAAGCAGCCUUCCCCACCGGCUCAGAGCAGAGGAGCCCAAAACCAGGAGCCCAGCGACAGCAACCACAAGUCACCCGAGCACUACAAGGCCAGGUGGCCAGAUAAGGAAGGGGACAAGGACAAGAAGGCGACCAAGCCCCCCGCCAAGGACGCUUCCUCUGGGAAGGAGAACCGCUCUCCAGGCCUGCGAGGGAGGCCGCCAGGCCCCGCCCUCCAGCUGCAGCACAGCACGUCCCCAUCACAAUGUCAGAACUCCCUGGACUCAUCCUCAGGCCCCCAGGCAGCUGAGCGAAGGGCCAUGUCACCGUCACCACCCAGAGGGGGUCACCCACGCUCCCCGGAGAGUCGAAGGAGAGUGAUUGACCGACUGAGACUUCCAUCUGGCAGGAUGUGGAGCCAGGAAGAGGCAGGGGUCCGUAGGGACACUAGCCCGGCCAUGGAUGCCCGGCGACGGUUCAGCCGCUCACCUUUCAGGCGGAGAUCGCGCUCUCCCAGGAGAUGCAGCAGGUCACCAUUCAGGAGGAGGUCGUUGGAUCGGUUGGGACGGAGGCUGCGGUGGCGUUCCAGAUCCCAGGAGAGGAGAUGGAGCCGGGACAGAGAGGACAAGUUCAAAGGCAGCCUCUCGGAGGGAAUGAGGGUCGACAAGGAGGACUCUGAAGAUGAAGUGCUGGAAGAUUACGAUGUGGACGAGGAGGACGAGGAGGCUCUCAUUGAACAGAGGAGGCUACAGCGCCUGGCCAUCGUCCAGAAGUACAAGGGAGGGAACGAGGGUAGUAGUAACAUGUCGGCACCAUCGGAGCCCGGCAGCCCCCAGAGCAGCCCACGCAGCCGCUCGCCGUCGCCGGACGACAUCUUGGAGCGCGUGGCGGCCGAUGUCAAAGAGUAUGAGCGGGAAAACGUGGACACCUUCGAGGAAAACAUCAAGGCAAAGCACAACCUCAUCGAACAGGAAAAAGACGAAGGAACCAACCAGAAAAAAACAUCCGCCCCUGAUAUGUUCACUGAAUCGGAUGACAUGUUCGCCGCCUACGAUAGUGCAAGGCUUCGAGCAGCAGGCAUUGGGAAGGACUUCAAGGAGAACCCCAACCUCCGAGACAACUGGACAGACGCAGAGGGAUACUACCGACUAAAUAUCGGGGAGAUACUGGACAAGCGGUACAGCGUGUACGGCUACACGGGCCAGGGGGUGUUCAGCAACGUCAUCCGCGCCCGAGACGUGGCUCGCGCCAGCCAUGAGGUGGCCAUCAAGAUCAUUCGGAACAACGAGCUCAUGCAGAAGACUGGGCUGAAGGAGCUGGAGUUCCUUAAGAAGCUCAACAAUGCUGACCUGGACGACAAGUUCCACUGUCUGCGGCUCUUCCGACACUUCUACCACAAGCAGCACCUCUGUCUGGUCUUCGAGCCUCUCAGUAUGAACCUGCGCGAGGUACUGAAGAAGUAUGGCAAAGACGUGGGCCUCCACAUCAAGGCGGUGCGCUCUUACAGCCAGCAGCUCUUUCUGGCCCUGAAGCUGCUGAAACGCUGCCACAUCCUGCACGCCGAUAUCAAACCUGACAACAUCCUGGUCAACGAGUCGAAAACCAUCCUCAAGCUCUGUGACUUUGGUUCAGCGUCGCACGUGGCAGAGAAUGACAUCACGCCCUACUUGGUCAGCCGGUUCUACAGGGCGCCGGAGAUUAUCAUCGGGAAGCCUUACGACUAUGGGAUCGACAUGUGGUCCGUUGGCUGCACUCUGUAUGAGCUGUACACGGGCAAGAUACUUUUCCCAGGGAAAACCAACAACCACAUGAUUAAGCUCGCCAUGGACAUCAAGGGCAAGAUGCCCAACAAGAUGAUCAGGAAAGGCGACCAGCACUUUGACCAGAACCUCAACUUCCUGUACACAGAAGUAGACAAAGUCACUGAAAGGGAGAAGGUGACAGUGAUGAGCACCAUCAACCCCACCAAGGAGCUGCUGGCUGACAUGGUGGGCUGCCAGCGUCUCCCUGAAGACCAGCGCAAGAAGGUUGCCCAGCUCAAGGACCUGCUGGACCUGACCCUUAUGCUGGACCCGGCCAAGAGGAUCAGCAUCAACCAGGCCCUGCAGCACCCCUACAUCCAGGAGAAGAUCUUCUGAGCAUCUCUUACUGUGCCACUCACAGUCAUGCAUUGAUUGAUUGACACAUCCAGAAGCUAGUACUGAGUCCCUAGUUUGACUAUGGUUGGACCCCACCCCAGCCCAAGAAAUGGCUUUAUUUGAGCUGGCAGACUCUGCUGAUGGAGAGGAAGUAGUAUUAUCUUUCUUCCCCUGUUUGAACAACACACACAUGCUCUCCCGUUGUACAUUGAUCUAAGGACUUGUAUUAUAUAACCAUAGUAGGGGUGUGACCAUUUAUAUGUUUAAUCGAAAUUGAAUCCUUAACGUUAAGGAAAAAAUGAAACUGCGUUUUUUUUUCUCUACAAAAUGUAAAUCCCAGUGCAGUUAUCACAAAACUACCACUAACAGGUCCUGCUCAUCAUAAAGGGAAUAGGCCUACCUAACACAACAAUGCUGUAACGUUAGUAAGAGGGGAUGUGCAUCCGCACGUCAUCGUCGUUAACAGUUUGAAAAGAAGUGCUUAUUACAGUCGUUAUGCAUCUGUUUUCAAUGGACUAUUUGAGUUGUGAGGUCAUUUGUUAAAUGAAGAACUGCAAACGCCAUUUGAGCCUCGACUCACGCUACUGAAACGGGUAUUGAAAACCCAGAGUGCUCCCCCACCCACCCUGGUGUCUGUGCAGGCCCUGGUCCGCAUGCCCGUUCUGCCGCUGCCUGUAGGUCUGUCAGUGCUGAAAACCCAAACGGUUGGGGUUCCUUGGGUCCUACUUGAGCCCACCUGCAGGGAUGGCCCCUCAUGUUUAAAGCAGAUUGUAUACCACUUUCAGUACAUUGAAGGUAAGCUAUCCCCCCUCUUCCAAACAACAAAACCCAUCAACUUCACCUGGUUAUUACCUCGUAUGUUUAUUUAUUUUUAAAAUAUAUUUUAAUAUUGUACACAUUGUUUUAGCCAGAUGCCCCCAUAGACAUGGUUCACAUGUUGUUUAAAAAUAUGUCAAAGACAAACUGGAUAAAAGUCAACUUAAUCAAGUCACUUCUGUAGAUGUGGUCCUUCUGUAGCUCAGUUGGUAGAGCAU
Oncorhynchus keta (chum salmon) is the source of this 4032-nucleotide RNA transcript. It is a transcript of the gene named serine/threonine-protein kinase PRP4 homolog, with no coding region annotated. The record is from RefSeq and is a predicted model, not a curated record. Lineage: Eukaryota; Metazoa; Chordata; Actinopteri; Salmoniformes; Salmonidae. The transcript has 16 exons.